GAUGAACGCUGGCGGCGUGCCUAAUACAUGCAAGUCGAGCGAACAGACGAGGAGCUUGCUCCUCUGACGUUAGCGGCGGACGGGUGAGUAACACGUGGAUAACCUACCUAUAAGACUGGGAUAACUUCGGGAAACCGGAGCUAAUACCGGAUAAUAUAUUGAACCGCAUGGUUCAAUAGUUAAAGACGGUUUUGCUGUCACUUAGAGAUGGAUCCGCGCCGCAUUAGCUAGUUGGUAAGGUAACGGCUUACCAAGGCGACGAUGCGUAGCCGACCUGAGAGGGUGAUCAGCCACACUGGAACUGAGACACGGUCCAGACUCCUACGGGAGGCAGCAGUAGGGAAUCUUCCGCAAUGGGCGAAAGCCUGACGGAGCAACGCCGCGUGAGUGAUGAAGGUCUUCGGAUCGUAAAACUCUGUUAUUAGGGAAGAACAAAUGUGUAAGUAACUAUGCACGUCUUGACGGUACCUAAUCAGAAAGCCACGGCUAACUACGUG
This 497-nucleotide ribosomal RNA is filed under the name uncultured bacterium. RNAcentral's name for it is "partial 16S ribosomal RNA". It matches the Rfam family "Bacterial small subunit ribosomal RNA", at positions 28 to 507 of the family's 1533-position model. The record is from RNAcentral.